RNAcentral lists this ribosomal RNA (800 nucleotides) under uncultured bacterium. RNAcentral's name for it is "bacterial SSU rRNA". It matches the Rfam family "Bacterial small subunit ribosomal RNA", at positions 81 to 877 of the family's 1533-position model. The record is from RNAcentral.
UGCUUCUCUUGAGAGCGGCGGACGGGUGAGUAAUGCCUAGGAAUCUGCCUGGUAGUGGGGGAUAACGUUCGGAAACGGACGCUAAUACCGCAUACGUCCUACGGGAGAAAGCAGGGGACCUUCGGGCCUUGCGCUAUCAGAUGAGCCUAGGUCGGAUUAGCUAGUUGGUGGGGUAAUGGCUCACCAAGGCGACGAUCCGUAACUGGUCUGAGAGGAUGAUCAGUCACACUGGAACUGAGACACGGUCCAGACUCCUACGGGAGGCAGCAGUGGGGAAUAUUGGACAAUGGGCGAAAGCCUGAUCCAGCCAUGCCGCGUGUGUGAAGAAGGUCUUCGGAUUGUAAAGCACUUUAAGUUGGGAGGAAGGGUUGUAGAUUAAUACUCUGCAAUUUUGACGUUACCGACAGAAUAAGCACCGGCUAACUCUGUGCCAGCAGCCGCGGUAAUACAGAGGGUGCAAGCGUUAAUCGGAAUUACUGGGCGUAAAGCGCGCGUAGGUGGUUUGUUAAGUUGGAUGUGAAAUCCCCGGGCUCAACCUGGGAACUGCAUUCAAAACUGACUGACUAGAGUAUGGUAGAGGGUGGUGGAAUUUCCUGUGUAGCGGUGAAAUGCGUAGAUAUAGGAAGGAACACCAGUGGCGAAGGCGACCACCUGGACUAAUACUGACACUGAGUGCGAAAGCGUGGGGAGCAAACAGGAUUAGAUACCCUGGUAGUCCACGCCGUAAACGAUGUCAACUAGCCCGUUGGGAAGCCUUGAGCUUUUAGUGGCGCAGCUAACGCAUUUAAGUGACGCCUGGG